GGGCGUUCCGAGGGGGGCUCCAGGCUGGAGCUGAGAUACCGCACCCUCGCAAGCGGCGAAUUCGCCCUUCGAGACCGCGGUAACCCUUUGAACCUGAUCCGGGUCAUGCCGGCGAAGGGACAGGGAUGCAUACCGCAA
This 138-nucleotide non-coding RNA is filed under the name Pseudomonadota bacterium. RNAcentral's name for it is "Proteobacteria bacterium TPP sequence". It matches the Rfam family "TPP riboswitch aptamer (THI element)". From Rfam's summary of the family: Vitamin B(1) in its active form thiamin pyrophosphate (TPP) is an essential coenzyme that is synthesised by coupling of pyrimidine and thiazole moieties in bacteria. Lineage: Bacteria; Pseudomonadati; Pseudomonadota. The record is from RNAcentral.